GACGAACGCUGGCGGCGUGCUUAACACAUGCAAGUCGAACGGAAAGGCCCUGCUUUUGUGGGGUGCUCGAGUGGCGAACGGGUGAGUAACACAUGAGUAACCUGCCCUUGACUUUGGGAUAACUUUAGGAAACUGGGGCUAAUACCGGAUAGGAGCUCUUGCUGCAUGGUGGGGGUUGGAAAGUUUCGGCGGUUGUGGAUGGACUCGCGGCUUAUCAGCUAGUUGGUGGAGUAGUGGUUUACCAAGGCUUAGACGGGUAGCCGGCCUGAGAGGGUUGCCGGCCACAUUAGUACUGCGGUACGGCCCAGACGCCUACGGGACGCAGCAGUCGAGAGUAUUGCACAGUAAGCCGAAGUCAGAUACGACAACGCUGCGUGCGGAAUGACGGGCUUCGGGUUAUGAACCGCUUUCGCCUGUGACGUGGCGGUAGUGACGGUACUGAAUAAAGAAGCACCGGCUAACUACGUG
RNAcentral lists this ribosomal RNA (468 nucleotides) under uncultured bacterium. RNAcentral describes it as "partial 16S ribosomal RNA". It matches the Rfam family "Bacterial small subunit ribosomal RNA", at positions 28 to 507 of the family's 1533-position model. The record is from RNAcentral.